Xenopus laevis (African clawed frog) is the source of this 2062-nucleotide long non-coding RNA. RefSeq lists it as uncharacterized. The record is from RefSeq and is a predicted model, not a curated record. The transcript has 4 exons. NCBI's taxonomy places the organism in Eukaryota, Metazoa, Chordata, Amphibia, Anura, Pipidae.
GCAAAUUAGGAUUUGGUUCGGUAUUCGGCCGAAUCUUUCACAAAGGAUUCGGGGGUUCGGCCGAAUCCAAAAUAGUGGAUUCGGUGCAUCCCUAAUUUGAAUAUAUUUGACAAAAGGUGCCUGAGCAGCUUCUGGAGUGCACUACAAAUGGGGUUUAAACUCCAUCUAUCCAAAAACCUUUGCAAUAAAAAAAGACUUUUUUGUGGAAAACUAUAUUUUUUUGUUUUCACCAUGCCUCCCCUUGGUUAACGAACUGCUAGAAAUAGUGCCUUCGAUUCGAAGGUUUUGAUCGUAUCGUAAAGUUGAAGAGGAUCGAAGUGAACCUUGCCCCACUUGUAUUCAAAUCGAUUCAAAGUUUUUAUGCCCCACUUCCUUUAUGCCAUUUUUUUCAAACAGGAAGUCCUCUGGAGGCCAUUUUAGGUGAAUUUUCGGCCUUAAUGCUCACUUGCUAUUUGCAUGAGCCAGGUGGAGGAGGCUCCCAAACUGCUGCAUUAAAAAUGUAAAGAAGAAGUGAGGAGGAGGAAGGAGAAUGUUGUUCCAGCCCUGAUGAGGUGCCCAGGGUGGCUACAUCCCACACUAUGUGGGAUGCAAGUCACCACAGAAGGGGAAGAGAGGGGGACAGGGGCUGGAGUGUCAGAGGGAGGGGUUCCUGGGGGGAAGGAGAGGAGAGCGGGUCAGCUGGAGGGUCCCGUAGAGGAGGAGAGGUCAGGGAGUGGCAGGAGUAGGUUAGGGAGGGUGUCCCCCAGCCCACAUAGAGGGUCCUCCAAGGCACGCCAAAUGUCCUCCGCAACAUCUGGGACACGUGGCAGGUCUGACACCCCAGCCAGGGGAAGUAGGGCCUAUCCCAGGGCACGCCACGUGUCCCCUGCAACAUUGGGGACACGUGGCAGGUCUGACACCUCAACCAGGACUGGGACUAGCGCCCCCAGGAGGAGGCAUGCCAGCACAGAGGAGGAGGUGGAAACAGCACCUGCCUCACAGAGGAGACAGGAGGAGGAGAAGGACGACGAUGAGGGCCCCAGUGGGCGAAUCUUUACCAGUGACGAGAAUGCAACACUGGUCGAUGAAGUCAUCGCGCAAUGGGAUGUGUUGUUUGGAAUUCAGUCCCAGCAUAUCAAUGCUGCCAGACGACAAAAAAUCUGGCAGCGGGUAACACAGAGUCAACUCUGUAGACACUGUACACAGGGAUCGCAACACUGUGUACAAGCGCUUCAGUGACCUGAAGCUUUGGAUACAGGCGAAGUUUGCUGCCAGGAGAGCGAAGGCCCAGAAGACCAGCGGAGGCCCAGUUCCACCUUUGAGGCUCAAGCCUUACGAAUGCCGGCUUCUGGACAGUAUGGGCAGAGAGGUCUGUGAAGGUUUGGAAAGCCCAUACCUGGAAACAGAUUGGAGAACACCAACCGCGUACAUCGCGCCGUGCCUUGGACAGAGACCAGGACCAGGACGCAGAUGCUCAGCAACCCCAGGAAGAGGGUGAGGCCGCAGAUAGCCCUAGAGCCCUGGAAGCUCAAGAACACCGAGCUCCCCGCCGUGCCCAAUCACCAGCCAUGAUUCCUGUGGUGCCCCCCAGACCUGUUCUUUUAUAAUGAGACAGUAGAACUAGUAAUGGCUGCAGCAGGAGCCCUGCUCUUCUGUGGAUUUAUCAUCUAUGACACACAUUUAUUGAUGCACAAACUGUCCCCAGUGGAGUAAAUCCUGGCGUCUGUCAACCUUUAUCUGGACAUCAUUAACUUUUUUCUCCAUCUGCUUAGAAUAUUACAAGCUGUUAUGUGCAAAUAACUAUGAUUAGUGUAUGCCAUAAUUUGGGCUCAUAAAUUCCUAUUGUUUUAUUUUUUUUCUCUAAACAUAUUUAAAUAUAAUGUGAUAUGAUGCAUAUGUUUUAGUCAAUUACACUCUAUAAAAAAUAGUUUUCUGUUAAGCUUCAUCAGAUGCAGUAUUGCUGUAGUCACCGACUAGGGCCUGUCAAAGCCUAAAUGCAGAAGAGAGAGUAAUCUAGGGGAGGGUCAUGAAUAGAGUUGCUUUUAGGGCUCUUACAGACAAGCAUUUUUACCUGCGCUCCCCU